This 398-nucleotide ribosomal RNA is filed under the name uncultured bacterium. Its description in RNAcentral is "partial 16S ribosomal RNA". It matches the Rfam family "Bacterial small subunit ribosomal RNA", at positions 523 to 918 of the family's 1533-position model. The record is from RNAcentral.
AUCCGUAGGUGACAAGCGUUAUCCGGAUUUACUGGGCGUAAAGGGCGUGUAGGCGGUCUUGCAAGUCAGAAGUGAAAUUCCUGAGCUCAACUCGGGCGCUGCUUCUGAAACUGCAGGACUUGAGUGCUGGCGGGGACAGCGGAAUUCCUAGUGGAGCGGUAAAAUGCGCAGAUAUUAGGAAGAACACCGGUGGCGAAGGCGGCUAUCUGGCCAUUAACUAACGGUUAGGCGCGAAUGCGUGGGAAUCAAACAUGAUAAGAUACCCUGGUAUUCCACGCCGUAAACGAGGACUACUAGGUGUAGGGGGGUAUCGACUCCCUCUGUGCCGCAGGUAACACAAUAAGUAUUCCGCCUGGGGAGUACGGCCUCAAGGUUGAAACUCAAAGGAAUUGACGGGG